RNAcentral lists this ribosomal RNA (293 nucleotides) under uncultured eukaryote. RNAcentral's name for it is "partial 18S ribosomal RNA". It matches the Rfam family "Eukaryotic small subunit ribosomal RNA", at positions 6 to 298 of the family's 1831-position model. The record is from RNAcentral.
GGUUGAUCCUGCCAGUAGUCAUAUGCUUGUCUCAAAGAUUAAGCCAUGCAUGUCUAAGUAUAAAAGUAUUCUAUACUUGAAACUGCGAAUAGCUCAUUAAAUCAGUUAUAGUUUAUUUGAUGGUGCCUUACUACAUGGAUACCCGUAGUAAUUCUAGAGCUAAUACAUGCCAAAAAAACCCAACCGCAAGGGCGGGUUGUAUUUAUUAGAUAAAAAACCAUUACUCGCAAGAGUUUUUGUGGUGAUUCAUAAUAACUGUUCGAAUCGCAUGCCUCACGGCGGCGAUAGAUCAU